This 242-nucleotide transfer RNA is filed under the name Ailuropoda melanoleuca (giant panda). Its description in RNAcentral is "tRNA-Lys". Lineage: Eukaryota; Metazoa; Chordata; Mammalia; Carnivora; Ursidae. The record is from RNAcentral.
GCCUGGCUGGCUCAGUUGGAAAAGCAUGUGACUCUUGAUCUUGGGUCAUGACCUCAAACCCACAUUGGGUGUAGAGAUGACUUUAAAUAAACAAACAAACAAACAUACUUUUAAAAAAAGUUCUCACCACAAGAAAAAAAAAUUAGGGGCAUCUUGGUGAUGCAGUUGGUUAAGCAUCUGACUCUUGGUUUCAGUUCAGGUAGUGAUCUCAGGGUCACUGAGAUCAAGCCCCAUAUCAGGCG